This 72-nucleotide transfer RNA is filed under the name Mycobacterium kyogaense. It matches the Rfam family "tRNA". From Rfam's summary of the family: Transfer RNA (tRNA) molecules are approximately 80 nucleotides in length. Their secondary structure includes four short double-helical elements and three loops (D, anti-codon, and T loops). RNAcentral also lists the same sequence under 1 other name. The record is from RNAcentral. Lineage: Bacteria; Bacillati; Actinomycetota; Actinomycetes; Mycobacteriales; Mycobacteriaceae.
CGGGGUGGAGCAGCUCGGUAGCUCGCUGGGCUCAUAACCCAGAGGUCGCAGGUUCGAAUCCUGUCCCCGCUA